AGAGUUUGAUCAUGGCUCAGAUUGAACGCUGGCGGCAGGCCUAACACAUGCAAGUCGAACGGUAACAGGAAGAAGCUUGCUUCUUUGCUGACGAGUGGCGGACGGGUGAGUAAUGUCUGGGAAACUGCCUGAUGGAGGGGGAUAACUACUGGAAACGGUAGCUAAUACCGCAUAACGUCGCAAGACCAAAGAGGGGGACCUUCGGGCCUCUUGCCAUCGGAUGUGCCCAGAUGGGAUUAGCUUGUUGGUGGGGUAACGGCUCACCAAGGCGACGAUCCCUAGCUGGUCUGAGAGGAUGACCAGCCACACUGGAACUGAGACACGGUCCAGACUCCUACGGGAGGCAGCAGUGGGGAAUAUUGCACAAUGGGCGCAAGCCUGAUGCAGCCAUGCCGCGUGUAUGAAGAAGGCCUUCGGGUUGUAAAGUACUUUCAGCGGGGAGGAAGGGAGUAAAGUUAAUACCUUUGCUCAUUGACGUUACCCGCAGAAGAAGCACCGGCUAACUCCGUGCCAGCAGCCGCGGUAAUACGGAGGGUGCAAGCGUUAAUCGGAAUUACUGGGCGUAAAGCGCACGCAGGCGGUUUGUUAAGUCAGAUGUGAAAUCCCCGGGCUCAACCUGGGAACUGCAUCUGAUACUGGCAAGCUUGAGUCUCGUAGAGGGGGGUAGAAUUCCAGGUGUAGCGGUGAAAUGCGUAGAGAUCUGGAGGAAUACCGGUGGCGAAGGCGGCCCCCUGGACGAAGACUGACGCUCAGGUGCGAAAGCGUGGGGAGCAAACAGGAUUAGAUACCCUGGUAGUCCACGCCGUAAACGAUGUCGACUUGGAGGUUGUGCCCUUGAGGCGUGGCUUCCGGAGCUAACGCGUUAAGUCGACCGCCUGGGGAGUACGGCCGCAAGGUUAAAACUCAAAUGAAUUGACGGGGGCCCGCACAAGCGGUGGAGCAUGUGGUUUAAUUCGAUGCAACGCGAAGAACCUUACCUGGUCUUGACAUCCGGAAGUUUUCAGAGAUGAGAAUGUGCCUUCGGGAACCGUGAGACAGGUGCUGCAUGGCUGUCGUCAGCUCGUGUUGUGAAAUGUUGGGUUAAGUCCCGCAACGAGCGCAACCCUUAUCCUUUGUUGCCAGCGGUCCGGCCGGGAACUCAAAGGAGACUGCCAGUGAUAAACUGGAGGAAGGUGGGGAUGACGUCAAGUCAUCAUGGCCCUUACGACCAGGGCUACACACGUGCUACAAUGGCGCAUACAAAGAGAAGCGACCUCGCGAGAGCAAGCGGACCUCAUAAAGUGCGUCGUAGUCCGGAUUGGAGUCUGCAACUCGACUCCAUGAAGUCGGAAUCGCUAGUAAUCGUGGAUCAGAAUGCCACGGUGAAUACGUUCCCGGGCCUUGUACACACCGCCCGUCACACCAUGGGAGUGGGUUGCAAAAGAAGUAGGUAGCUUAACCUUCGGGAGGGCGCUUACCACUUUGUGAUUCAUGACUGGGGUGAAGUCGUAACAAGGUAACCGUAGGGGAACCUGCGGUUGGAUCACCU
This 1528-nucleotide ribosomal RNA is filed under the name Escherichia coli G3/10. Its description in RNAcentral is "bacterial SSU rRNA". It matches the Rfam family "Bacterial small subunit ribosomal RNA". The record is from RNAcentral. Lineage: Bacteria; Pseudomonadati; Pseudomonadota; Gammaproteobacteria; Enterobacterales; Enterobacteriaceae.